GGCGGUGAUCCUGUAGCUGGUCUGAGAGGAUGAUCAGCCACACUGGAACUGAGACACGGUCCAGACUCCUACGGGAGGCAGCAGUGGGGAAUAUUGGACAAUGGGCGCAAGCCUGAUCCAGCUAUGCCGCGUGAGUGAGGAAGGCCUUAGGGUUGUAAAACUCUUUCAGUAGGGAAGAUAAUGACGGUACCUACAGAAGAAGUCCCGGCAAACUCCGUGCCCAGCAGCCGCGGUAAUACGGAGGGGGCAAGCGUUGUUCGGAAAUUAUUGGGC
Molecule: ribosomal RNA, 273 nt
Filed under: uncultured Anaplasma sp.
Lineage: Bacteria; Pseudomonadati; Pseudomonadota; Alphaproteobacteria; Rickettsiales; Anaplasmataceae
Description: partial 16S ribosomal RNA
Rfam family: Bacterial small subunit ribosomal RNA
Source: RNAcentral